Long non-coding RNA from Saccostrea cuccullata (small rock oyster), 292 nucleotides. RefSeq lists it as uncharacterized. The record is from RefSeq and is a predicted model, not a curated record. The transcript is spliced from 4 exons. Lineage: Eukaryota; Metazoa; Mollusca; Bivalvia; Ostreida; Ostreidae.
GAAUGCAGGCGCUUAAGACUUGACAGUGAAAAAGUCCGAACGAACUUGCUGUUUCAGAAAAUUCCAAAGAGGAAGAAAUGCAGAAACUUCAAUCCGUCAUAUUUCUAACAUGCUUGGCUUUUAUCAACUUUCCUCGAGGUUGUAAAGCUCACAAGUGUUUACUUUGGGAAAGACUAAAGUGCCAUGGAGAGUACGCCCGAGCUAGAUUCGCUACACAUACUAAUGGUAAUGCCUUUAUUUGCAGUGCCGCAGAAGAUUACUUGGUAUGCGUAAACAAUAUACUAGCUGACUG